UCAGAAGAAGAAAAAAUUCCCAUACACACAGAACAGAGACAAUUUUUUUUUUUAUCACCGCCGUCGUUGGUCGAUCACAUCACAGACCAAAUUGAAGAUGACCACGGUAGCUUGCCGCAGAAAAAAAAAUCCUCGAUAUAAAAAAAAGAAAUUGAAAUUGAAAAAAAAAGAAAUUCAAGUCCCAAAAUUUUCUUAUGAUGAUCUGUGUGAAACCCGUUAUUCACCCAUUACGAAAAAAAACAACGUAAGUGUUUAGAAAGAUUCGAUGAUUUGAAUUUGAACUCUUUACCAUCACCAAUAAUCAACCGUUUGAUUUGUGUUCAGACGAUGAUGUUGAAAAUUUUUUCACUUGUUGAUCAUUUUU
Dermatophagoides farinae (American house dust mite) is the source of this 364-nucleotide non-coding RNA. NCBI's taxonomy places the organism in Eukaryota, Metazoa, Arthropoda, Arachnida, Sarcoptiformes, Pyroglyphidae. The record is from RefSeq and is a predicted model, not a curated record.